AAUCAACGCUGGCGGCGUGCCUAACACAUGCAAGUCGAACGCGAAAGGGGCUUCGGCCCUGAGUAGAGUGGCGAACGGGUGAGUAACACGUGGGUGACCUACCUUCGAGUGGGGGAUAACGUCCCGAAAGGGACGCUAACACCGCAUAACAUCCUGCCUUUGAACAGGUGGAGAUCAAAGCUGGGGAUCGCAAGACCCGGCGCUUGAAGAGGGGCCCGCGUCCGAUUAGCUAGUUGGUGAGGUAAUGGCUCACCAAGGCGACGAUCGGUAACCGGCCUGAGAGGGCGGACGGUCACACUGGGACUGAGACACGGCCCAGACUCCUACGGGAGGCAGCAGUGGGGAAUUGUUCACAAUGGGCGCAAGCCUGAUGACGCAACGCCGCGUGGAGGAUGAAGGUCUUCGGAUUGUAAACUCCUGUUGCUCGGGACGAAAAGCUUCGACCUAAUACGUCGAAGUCUGACGGUACCGGGUGAGGAAGCCCCGGCUAACUCUGUGCCAGCCGCCGCA
Molecule: ribosomal RNA, 510 nt
Filed under: uncultured bacterium
Lineage: Bacteria
Description: bacterial SSU rRNA
Rfam family: Bacterial small subunit ribosomal RNA
Source: RNAcentral